CUUCUCAUCGCAUCCUCGCGACUAAUGACAAUCUUUAUCCCGCGGAAUAAAGCCUCUCAUUAGCCGCGUGAACCUCAGCAAUGGAAGAAUCUACUUAGCGUCCACCGCGGCGCGGGCGAAACUAUCCCCCGCCCCGGUGGGCGCUGCCUAGAAGAAAGGGGCCACAUAAGGCCCCUUUCU
RNAcentral lists this small RNA (180 nucleotides) under Candidatus Sodalis pierantonii str. SOPE. RNAcentral describes it as "primary endosymbiont of Sitophilus oryzae SraG RNA". It matches the Rfam family "SraG RNA". Rfam says of the family: This RNA was discovered in E. coli during a large scale screen. The record is from Rfam by way of RNAcentral. Lineage: Bacteria; Pseudomonadati; Pseudomonadota; Gammaproteobacteria; Enterobacterales; Bruguierivoracaceae.